ACCUUGAUGGUAUUUUAGAAGAGGAAGAAAAUCCAUCUCUGCAGAGUCACUGGAGACUUUGGCUAUUACUAAUUGAUUCUACACGGAGAGCACACAGUGGGGACAGCCUUCAGUCUGAAGCGCAUCAAAAAAAAGUCUUGCUGACCCUGAAGAGGCUUUCCGGAUAUUUAGGGCUUGGCUGCCCUUCCUUAGUGGAUGGAUGAGCCGGUGGUCAUCAUCAACCAUUCUGGAGGCUACGUUUAGCCUUAAAACUGAAGGGCUUUCCUAAACACGGAACAGGCUCAGAGAGAGAGGAGGUGAUACACAAUCUUUGUUUGCCACUUCCAACACCAAGGGCACUGGAAGUGGAUGUCACCCAAGGAAGUGACCGAUCUCAGCAGUGUUCUGGCUGUGCUGCUUUGUCCAAGAUGACUUGUGGUGCUACAACACACAGGGUAGGUGAGGAGGGUCCUUGCUGAAGGAUGUGUCCCACAAGUUGAUGCUUCUACUGUUAGAGAGAACGGAUGCACAGAAAAAGCUAUAUUAAGUAUUUAGAAGUCAACAGAAAAAUCUAGGCAAUUCCUCUGAUUCCUCCAUUUAUGGUAAACUCAGAAAAAGUGGAAAGAUGUGCUGAGAGAGAAUGAUCUAAAAUAAAGAUGCAUGCUUAAAUUUUAAUUCUGUUAAA
RNAcentral lists this long non-coding RNA (664 nucleotides) under Numida meleagris (helmeted guineafowl). RNAcentral's name for it is "lncRNA (ENSNMEG00000016396.1)". Lineage: Eukaryota; Metazoa; Chordata; Aves; Galliformes; Numididae. The record is from RNAcentral.